AGUCCCGAGCGGCUUCGAGACAAGGAAGAGAAGCCACGCGUCUCACUUCAGCCAGUCAGUGGUCAGUGGCGUCAGCUUUGUUGUAGUAUAUGCGCCAGUCUUCUGUGAUUUCUUGAACGCUUAUUCGGGCUUUAGGUGAACCAAAAUUCUCCCAGAGCUUGGUGACAGUGGUCAGCAGCUGUGACACAAGGAGCAGCUCUCUCAGCGACGGGGAGCAGUGGACGGCGGAUGAAUACUUCGGCUCCCGCGCCUUCUUCCGCAUCAUGUCCGACCCGCCGAUCCUGGUGGUGGACGGCGUGCGUCAGAGGAGUUGAAAAAUGUGAGAGAAGACACAGUAUGUUGAGGGAAGGCAGCUGCACCAGUGACAGCAUCAGCAGAGCCCCACUACUGCUGCUGUUCCUCUCCUUCUCCCAGCACAGCAGCACACAGGACACAUUUCCAUCAUCUUUAAAUCCCGGACACUUGUGCCUUGGUAAUCUCACAGCAGCAAACCCUACAUUGCUCAGGUCAACUUCCAGCUAGAAUCAUAAUAUCUGGAGUUAUUUUUCCGCAAAGAAGGAUUCAAAAUAUCUCCCCCCAAAAUAAGAUAUUUUUAGAAAUGAAAAUCCACUCGAAUUUUCUGCCUGAAGCUCUCGUUAAAAUGACUCCCUCUUGAAUCUUGUGUCCGACUCCAGCUGUGUCCAAGAGAAUGGAUCUCCAGUUUGUAGUGAGACUUCCGAGCCGCCCAGACCCGUGAAGGCGAGCAGUCCGUCAGAUGAUGAGAGUAGACAACAUAAGCAACAUAAUGAGAGACAAAAGUCACAAUAAUAGAGAUAAAAUGAAGGCACUCAAGUAUUAAUGAGAAAACAAGACAGAAUAAUGAGCAAAGUAAAAUAAUGAGACAGUAAGGCCAGUCAACAAAUAAUAGUGAAUUUACUGUAGGAAGGGUCUGCUGUACUACUUAAUGACCAUUCAAGUCUACUUGUUAAAGAUGUGUUUACAUUUUGAACGGUCAUUUUCUUGUACUAUGAUACAUUUUUAAUUAUUUUCUUACACCUGCCUUAAUUAACAUUGAGUAGAGUCUCACUAAUACAACUUGAAUAUUAUUACUCAGCCGGCAGUCUUUGCCAUGGUGGAGUGUGACACUCUGAAUCAGUACUGACAUUUUAUCAUUUACAUUUCAUUACUUUGAUUAC
Long non-coding RNA from Scylla paramamosain (green mud crab), 1175 nucleotides. RefSeq lists it as uncharacterized. NCBI's taxonomy places the organism in Eukaryota, Metazoa, Arthropoda, Malacostraca, Decapoda, Portunidae. The transcript has 3 exons. The record is from RefSeq and is a predicted model, not a curated record.